AUACGUAGGUGACAAGCGUUAUCCGGAUUUACUGGGCGUAAAGGGCGUGUAGGCGGUCUUGCAAGUCAGAAGUGAAAUUCCUGAGCUCAACUCGGGCGCUGCUUCUGAAACUGCAGGACUUGAGUGCUGGAGGGGAUAGCGGAAUUCCUAGUGGAGCGGUAAAAUGCGCAGAUAUUAGGAAGAACACCGGUGGCGAAGGCGGCUAUCUGGACAUUAACUGACGCUGGGGCGCGAAAGCGGGGGGAGCAAACAGGAUUAGGUACCCGGGUAGUCCACGCCGUAAACGAUGAAUACUAGGUGUAGGGGGUAUCGACUCCCUCUGUGCCGCAGGUAACACAAUAAGUAUUCCGCCUGGGGAGUACGGCCGCAAGGUUGAAACUCAAAUGAAUUGACGGGG
This 397-nucleotide ribosomal RNA is filed under the name uncultured bacterium. RNAcentral's name for it is "partial 16S ribosomal RNA". It matches the Rfam family "Bacterial small subunit ribosomal RNA", at positions 523 to 918 of the family's 1533-position model. The record is from RNAcentral.